CAGCCACAGUUUAUGGCAGACAACCAUUUUAAAUCUUACAAUAUCAACAUAUUUUAUCUUUUAAUAACCACAAAUAUAUAUCUUUUAAUACCACAAAUAUACACAAUUUAUCUUUAAAAGUUAAAGUAAGAAAGCUAAAGUUGAACCCCCCCCCCCAACAUAAAAGCCAACAGAUGACAUACAAAGGCUAGAAAUAUAGAGAUAUCUCAAAAAGUUUAGUAACUCAUAAAUCAUAUAAGGUACUGUAAAUGCCCCUAUAAAAUGAAGAGGAAAAAAGUCAGACUUCUUCUCUGGUUCCAAGGGAGGACCAAAAAAAUUAUAUAGGAUUUUCCAGGUGAGGGGUGGGGAGCCAAGACAUAGAAAGCAAAGAGGCUUAGGCUUCAAAUGAAGGGGGAAAAGGACAACUAAAAACCAAGGAAAGCCCUGCAGUCAUGACAGGAAAAGAAUUAGCAAUUUCCCACACUAACCCAGAGUCUCUGAGAAUUCAUUCUAACAGGUAGGUUAAUGCAAAAGGCAGCCAGAAGGAGUGGAAUUGCAGGGCUUUGAAAAAGAAACAACAUACUUUGGGAGUGGGGAUAAAUCUAACCUUUGUACGAAUAAAAAUAAAAUAAAAAAUUAUUGGAAAAAACAUUCUACACCUUUCUUGUUUGCGUAUGCGAUAGAUAUUGCCUAUAACAUCUUCCUGGGGUGUUUUUCAAUUUUACUAAUCUCUUCUGGUUCUGCGACAGUUCACCCCAAUAUAGCUAGUGAAGUCACGACUGCAGGAGUCAUAUGCAGGCGCCUCCACUGCAGCCCCAGCUCCUCAGGGGACCUCCAGGGGGCGCCGCUCCGAGAGCACGUUCUCACCUCUGUCAGGGCUCUUCUUGCUGAGUCUUUCCUCUGGCGCUCUCAGGUCCUUCCGUCUCGUCUGAGAACGGGACUCUCCUGGGCAGAGGGCCCAGGCCUGACAAGGGGUCCAGGGGAGCUGAUGUCAGCCCCGGGGCCUUCGAGGCCCCCUUCCUCCAGAUUCACCCUCUUACCGGAAGGAUGGAAGGUGCGAGAGGCUGCGGAAUCUUUUCUCAAAAAAAAAGACUUCACCUCAUUUUCCCUAGAGGAACCCUAG
Molecule: long non-coding RNA, 1102 nt
Filed under: Monodelphis domestica (gray short-tailed opossum)
Lineage: Eukaryota; Metazoa; Chordata; Mammalia; Didelphimorphia; Didelphidae
Description: lncRNA (ENSMODG00000031165.2)
Source: RNAcentral